RNAcentral lists this ribosomal RNA (561 nucleotides) under Aleochara moerens. RNAcentral describes it as "partial 16S ribosomal RNA". It matches the Rfam family "Bacterial large subunit ribosomal RNA", at positions 1928 to 2712 of the family's 2925-position model. Lineage: Eukaryota; Metazoa; Arthropoda; Insecta; Coleoptera; Staphylinidae. The record is from RNAcentral.
UGGCCGCAGUAUUUUGACUGUGCAAAGGUAGCAUAAUCAUUAGUUUCUUAAUUAGAAACUAGAAUGAAAGGUUGGACGAGAAAAUAACUGUCUCUUUAUAAUUUUUUUUGAAUUUUAUUUUUAAGUUAAAAAGCUUAAAUAAGUUUAAAAGACGAGAAGACCCUAUAGAGUUUUAUAUUUUUAAAAGUUGAUUUUUUAAUAUUGAAUAAUUUUAAUUUAAUUUAUAUAAAUAUUUAAUUGGGGUGAUUAAAAAAUUUGAAAAACUUUUUUUUUAGUUAAACAUAAAUUAAUGAAUAAUUGAUCCAUUAUUAGUGAUUAUAAGAUUAAAUUACCUUAGGGAUAACAGCGUAAUUUUUUUUAAGAGUUCUUAUCGAUAAAAAAGUUUGCGACCUCGAUGUUGGAUUAAAAUAAAUUUUUGGUGUAGAAGCUAAAAUAUUAGGUCUGUUCGACCUUUAAAAUUUUACAUGAUCUGAGUUUAAACCGGUGUGAGCCAGGUUGGUUUCUAUCUUUAAAAUAAUAAAAUAUUUUAGUACGAAAGGACCAAAUAUUUAUAAUAAUUAU